Hyla sarda is the source of this 404-nucleotide long non-coding RNA. RefSeq lists it as uncharacterized. Lineage: Eukaryota; Metazoa; Chordata; Amphibia; Anura; Hylidae. The record is from RefSeq and is a predicted model, not a curated record. The transcript is spliced from 3 exons.
AAAUUAGAAGCUGGAAAUCAAUGAGCCUUUAAGCUAUCCUUGCAUAGGGACCCUCUGUUGUUUGUAUCUGCCUCUAAUAUCCAAUAGUACUCAUGACUGUGAAUGUAACUGGAUUUACAUGAAAUAUAACAGUAUAUGUAAUGACAUCAUCUGCAAUUACACUAGGCCAGUUCAAGCAUGAGCUGAAAAGAUUAGAAUUUUGACCACAGCUACUUCUGUCUGAAGAUGUUUUGCCAGUUUUUGCAUCCUGAGAUGUGAUCAAAGAAACAACAGACUUCAACACACUCAUCAACUCAGCAACAUGGAUCACAGGUGCCCCUACCAGGUGCACACCACAAAUCAUUCCACAUCGCAGCUCUGUUAGGUCUGACAUAUCAUGGUCUUCAGACACAGCACGAGUAAUA